CGAGCGAACGGACGAGAAGCUUGCUUCUCUGAUGUUAGCGGCGGACGGGUGAGUAACACGUGGAUAACCUACCUAUAAGACUGGGAUAACUUCGGGAAACCGGAGCUAAUACCGGAUAAUAUUUUGAACCGCAUGGUUCAAAAGUGAAAGACGGUCUUGCUGUCACUUAUAGAUGGAUCCGCGCUGCAUUAGCUAGUUGGUAAGGUAACGGCUUACCAAGGCAACGAUGCAUAGCCGACCUGAGAGGGUGAUCGGCCACACUGGAACUGAGACACGGUCCAGACUCCUACGGGAGGCAGCAGUAGGGAAUCUUCCGCAAUGGGCGAAAGCCUGACGGAGCAACGCCGCGUGAGUGAUGAAGGUCUUCGGACCGUAAAACUCUGUUAUUAGGGAAGAGCAUAUGUGUAAGUAACUGUGCACAUCUUGACGGUACCUAAUCAGAAAGCCACGGCUAACUACGUGCCAGCAGCCGCGGUAAUACGUAGGUGGCAAGCGUUAUCCGGAAUUAUUGGGCGUAAAGCGCGCGUAGGCGGUUUUUUAAGUCUGAUGUGAAAGCCCACGGCUCAACCGUGGAGGGUCAUUGGAAACUGGAAAACUUGAGUGCAGAAGAGGAAAGUGGAAUUCCAUGUGUAGCGGUGAAAUGCGCAGAGAUAUGGAGGAACACCAGUGGCGAAGGCGACUUUCUGGUCUGUAACUGACGCUGAUGUGCGAAAGCGUGGGGA
Molecule: ribosomal RNA, 722 nt
Filed under: uncultured Staphylococcus sp.
Lineage: Bacteria; Bacillati; Bacillota; Bacilli; Caryophanales; Staphylococcaceae
Description: bacterial SSU rRNA
Rfam family: Bacterial small subunit ribosomal RNA
Source: RNAcentral